GCCUGAAUGGCUCAGUAGGUUGGGCAUCUGACUUCGGCUCAGGUGAUGAUCUCACGGUUUGUGAGUUGGAGCCCCGCAUCAGGCU
Transfer RNA from Felis catus (domestic cat), 85 nucleotides. It matches the Rfam family "tRNA". Rfam says of the family: Transfer RNA (tRNA) molecules are approximately 80 nucleotides in length. The record is from Rfam. NCBI's taxonomy places the organism in Eukaryota, Metazoa, Chordata, Mammalia, Carnivora, Felidae.